Molecule: ribosomal RNA, 253 nt
Filed under: uncultured bacterium
Lineage: Bacteria
Description: partial 16S ribosomal RNA
Rfam family: Bacterial small subunit ribosomal RNA
Source: RNAcentral
GACGAACCGAGCGAACGUUGUUCGGAAUCACUGGGCUUAAAGGGCGCGUAGGCGGGCAAUCAAGUCUGUGGUGAAAUCCGGCAGCUCAACUGUCGAAUUGCCGUGGAUACCGGUUGUCUCGAGGGAGGCAGGGGUGCGCGGAACUGAUGGUGGAGCGGUGAAACGCGUUGAUAUCAUCAGGAACUCCGGUGGCGAAGGCGGCGCACUGGUCCUCUUCUGACGCUGAGGCGCGAAAGCCAGGGGAGCAAACGGG